Molecule: ribosomal RNA, 781 nt
Filed under: uncultured bacterium
Lineage: Bacteria
Description: bacterial SSU rRNA
Rfam family: Bacterial small subunit ribosomal RNA
Source: RNAcentral
AGAGUUUGAUCCUGGCUCAGGAUUAACGCUGGCGGCGUGCAUGAAACAUGCAAGUCGAGCGCGGCGCGUGGUGGGGUAACCCGCCUAGCGUCUAGCGGCGAACGGGUGAGUAACACGUGAGCAACCUACCUUCGAGUUCGGGAUAGCCCUGAGAAAUCAGGAUUAAUACCGGAUGUGGCCAGGUCAGGGCAUCUUGACCUGUACAAAGGCGCAAGCCGCUCGAUGAUGGGCUCGCGGCUUAUUAGCUUGUUGGUGGGGUAACGGCCUACCAAGGCUCUGAUGAGUAGCUGGUCUGAGAGGACGAUCAGCCACACUGGGACUGAGACACGGCCCAGACUCCUACGGGAGGCAGCAGUUAGGAAUUUUCCGCAAUGGGCGAAAGCCUGACGGAGCAACGCCGCGUGGAUGAUGAAGACCCUUGGGUUGUAAAGUCCUGUCGGAGGGGAAGAAGAUCUGACGGUACCCUCCAAGAAAGCCCCGGCUAACUACGUGCCAGCAGCCGCGGUAAUACGUAGGGGGCAAGCGUUAUCCGGAUUUACUGGGCGUAAAGCGCGUUAAGGCGGCCGGCAAAGUUGGGGGUGAAAUUUCAGGGCUCAACCCUGAAACUGCCUCCAAUACUGGUCGGCUAGAGUGCGAGAGAGGAAGGUGGAAUUCCCGGUGUAGUAGUGAAAUGCGUAGAUAUCGGGAGGAACACCAGUGGCGAAGGCGGCCUUCUGGCUCGCGACUGACGCUGUAGCGCGAAAGCGUGGGUAGCGAACGGGAUUAGAUACCCCAGUAGUCC